CAUGUUGGUCUGGCUCAGAGAACGACUACUGUUGUCUAAUGUCCUCCUUCAUGCUGGUCUGGCUCAGAGAGUGUUGUCUAAUGUCCUCCUUCAUGUUGGUCUGGCUCAGAGAGUGUUGUCUAAUGUCCUCCUCCAUGUUGGUCUGGCUCAGAGAGUGUUGUCUAAUGUCCUCCUUCAUGUUGGUCUGGCUCAGAGAGUGUUGUCUAAUGUCCUCCUCCAUGCUGGUCUGGCUCAGAGAGUGUUGUCUAAUGUCCUCCUCCAUGUUGGUCUGGCUCAGAGAAAGACUACUGUUGUCUAAUGUCCUCCUCCAUGUUGGUCUGGCUCAGAGAGUGUUGUCUAAUGUCCUCCUUCAUGUUGGUCUGGCUCAGAGAACGACUACUGUUGUCUAAUGUCCUCCUUCAUGUUGGUCUGGCUCAGAGAGUGUUGUCUAAUGUCCUCCUCCAUGUUGGUCUGGCUCAGAGAGUGUUGUCUAAUGUCCUCCUUCAUGUUGGUCUGGCUCAGAGAGUGUUGUCUAAUGUCCUCCUUCAUGUUGGUCUGGCUCAGAGAGUGUUGUCUAAUGUCCUCCUUCAUGUUGGUCUGGCUCAGAGAGUGUUGUCUAAUGUCAUCCUUCAUGUUGGUCUGGCUCAGAGAAUGACUACUGUUGUCUAAUGUCCUCCUUCAUGUUGGUCUGGCUCAGAGAGUGUUGUCUAAUGUCCUCCUUCAUGCUGGUCUGGCUCAGAGAGUGUUGUCUAAUGUCCUCCUUCAUGUUGGUCUGGCUCAGAGAGUGUUGUCUAAUGUCCUCCUUCAUGUUGGUCUGGCUCAGAGAACGACUACUGUUGUCUAAUGUCCUCCUUCAUGUUGGUCUGGCUCAGAGAGUGUUGUCUAAUGUCCUCCUUCAUGUUGGUCUGGCUCAGAGAGUGUUGUCUAAUGUCCUCCUUCAUGUUGGUCUGGCUCAGAGAGUGUUGUCUAAUGUCCUCCUUCAUGUUGGUCUGGCUCAGAGAACGACUACUGUUGUCUAAUGUCCUCCUUCAUGUUGGUCUGGCUCAGAGAGUGUUGUCUAAUGUCCUCCUUCAUGUUGGUCUGGCUCAGAGAGUGUUGUCUAAUGUCCUCCUUCAUGUUGGUCUGGCUCAGAGAGUGUUGUCUAAUGUCCUCCUCCAUGCUGGUCUGGCUCAGAGAGUGUUGUCUAAUGUCCUCCUUCAUGUUGGUCUGGCUCAGAGAGUGUUGUCUAAUGUCCUCCUCCAUGUUGGUCUGGCUCAGAGAGUGUUGUCUAAUGUCCUCCUUCAUGUUGGUCUGGCUCAGAGAACGACUACUGUUGUCUAAUGUCCUCCUUCAUGUUGGUCUGGCUCAGAGAGUGUUGUCUAAUGUCCUCCUUCAUGUUGGUCUGGCUCAGAGAGUGUUGUCUAAUGUCCUCCUUCAUGUUGGUCUGGC
Molecule: long non-coding RNA, 1407 nt
Organism: Oncorhynchus keta (chum salmon)
Lineage: Eukaryota; Metazoa; Chordata; Actinopteri; Salmoniformes; Salmonidae
Exons: 6
Source: RefSeq, a predicted model, not a curated record